UUUCAGUGAACAAUGUGAACGUUGUGAUUCGCACCAGGACGGAGCACCUCACAGACGAGGAGAAGGCCAGGAUAAAAAGUGAAAGGAAUGUUCUGGAGUCUUUACUCGGGACAGUAGAGCAACAGAUCGGUGCUCAAGGGGACAUGACUAUGGAGUAUGCCACUGCCACAAACCCCAC
Molecule: long non-coding RNA, 178 nt
Organism: Sinocyclocheilus grahami
Lineage: Eukaryota; Metazoa; Chordata; Actinopteri; Cypriniformes; Cyprinidae
Exons: 3
Source: RefSeq, a predicted model, not a curated record